AUGCCCGCCUCCAUGCCCAAGCUGCUCUUCCUCCUCCUCCUCCUCCUCGCCGCGGCCGCCCACUCUUCACCGGAGGUGCCGGAUGCGGCGGGAGCGGGGUCCGAGCAGGCGGCGGUGCGCAUGGUGCCGAUGGCCCCGGCUGGGGGGUCGGGGUUCAGCGGGGUGGUGCUGAACGAGACGCGGCGGCGGCUGGGGAGCUUCCAGCUCUGCGCGCCCUGCACCUGCUGCGGCGGGCCCAGGGGCGUCUGCGUCCUCUCCCCGUGCUGCUACGCCAUCAACUGCAACAUCCCCAACCGCCCCUUCGGAUUCUGCUCCUUCACGCCCAGGUCAUGCGACUGCCUCCACUGCAACGUCUGA
RNAcentral lists this ribosomal RNA (357 nucleotides) under Triticum aestivum (bread wheat). RNAcentral describes it as "partial small subunit ribosomal RNA". Lineage: Eukaryota; Viridiplantae; Streptophyta; Magnoliopsida; Poales; Poaceae. The record is from RNAcentral.